This 390-nucleotide ribosomal RNA is filed under the name fungal sp. Its description in RNAcentral is "SSU rRNA". It matches the Rfam family "Eukaryotic small subunit ribosomal RNA", at positions 827 to 1217 of the family's 1831-position model. Lineage: Eukaryota; Fungi. The record is from RNAcentral.
CGUGUGGUUCUAUUUUGUUGGUUUCUAGGACCGCCGUAAUGAUUAAUAGGGACAGUCGGGGGCAUCAGUAUUCAAUUGUCAGAGGUGAAAUUCUUGGAUUUAUUGAAGACUAACUACUGCGAAAGCAUUUGCCAAGGAUGUUUUCAUUAAUCAGGAACGAAAGUUAGGGGAUCGAAAACGAUCAGAUACCGUUGUAGUCUUAACCAUAAACUAUGCCGACUCGGGAUCGGACGAUGUUAUUUUUUGACUCGUUCGGCACCGUACGAUAAAUCAAAGUGCUUGGGCUCCAGGGGGAGUAUGGUCGCAAGGCUGAAACUUAAAGAAAUUGACGGAAGGGCACCACCAGGGGUGGAGCCUGCGGCUUAAUUUGACUCAACACGGGGAAACUCA